RNAcentral lists this ribosomal RNA (468 nucleotides) under uncultured bacterium. Its description in RNAcentral is "partial 16S ribosomal RNA". It matches the Rfam family "Bacterial small subunit ribosomal RNA", at positions 28 to 507 of the family's 1533-position model. The record is from RNAcentral.
GACGAACGCUGGCGGCGUGCUUAACACAUGCAAGUCGAACGGAAAGGCCCUGCUUUUGUGGGGUGCUCGAGUGGCGAACGGGUGAGUAACACGUGAGUAACCUGCCCUUGACUUUGGGAUAACUUCAGGAAACUGGGGCUAAUACCGGAUAGGAGCUCCUGCUGCAUGGUGGGGGUUGGAAAGUUUCGGCGGUUGGGGAUGGACUCGCGGCUUAUCAGCUUGUUGGUGGGGUAGUGGCUUACCAAGGCUUUGAAGGGUAGCCGGCCUGAGAGGGUGACCGGCCACAUUGGGACUGAGAUACGGCCCAGAAUCCUACGGGAGGCAGCAGUGGGGAAUAUUGCACAAUGGGCGGAAGCCUGAUGCAGCAGCGCCGCGUGCGGGAUGACGGCCUUCGGGUUGUAAACCGCUUUCGCCUGUGACGAAGCGUGAGUGACGGUAAUGGGUAAAGAAGCACCGGCUAACUACGUG